RNAcentral lists this ribosomal RNA (228 nucleotides) under Paenibacillus monticola. RNAcentral describes it as "Paenibacillus sp. LC-T2 partial 23S ribosomal RNA". It matches the Rfam family "Bacterial large subunit ribosomal RNA", at positions 2693 to 2925 of the family's 2925-position model. Lineage: Bacteria; Bacillati; Bacillota; Bacilli; Caryophanales; Paenibacillaceae. The record is from RNAcentral.
CGGGAUGGACGUACCGCUGGUGCAUCAGUUGUUCCGCCAGGAGCAUGGCUGAGUAGCUACGUACGGACGGGAUAAGCGCUGAAAGCAUCUAAGCGUGAAGCCCCCCUCGAGAUGAGAUUUCCCAAUUUAGUAAGACCCCUUGAAGACGACGAGGUAGAUAGGUUGGAGGUGGAAGUGCAGCAAUGCAUGGAGCUGACCAAUACUAAUCGGUCGAGGGCUUAUCCUAAA